UACGAAGGGGGCGAGCGUUGUUCGGAAUCACUGGGCGUAAAGCGUGCGUAGGCGGUUAUAAAAGUUAGAAGUGAAAGCCCAGGGCUCAACCUUGGAAUUGCUUUUAAAACUAGAUAACUCGAAUCUCGGAGAGGAUAGCGGAAUUGUCAGUGUAGCAGUGAAAUGCGUAGAUAUUGACAGGAACACCAGUGGCGUAAGCGGCUAUCUGGACGAGUAUUGACGCUGAGGCACGAAGGCCAGGGGAGCAAACAGG
This 253-nucleotide ribosomal RNA is filed under the name uncultured bacterium. RNAcentral describes it as "partial 16S ribosomal RNA". It matches the Rfam family "Bacterial small subunit ribosomal RNA", at positions 524 to 776 of the family's 1533-position model. The record is from RNAcentral.